RNAcentral lists this microRNA precursor (61 nucleotides) under Python bivittatus (Burmese python). RNAcentral describes it as "Pbv-Mir-551-P2_pre stem-loop". It matches the Rfam family "mir-551 microRNA precursor family", at positions 9 to 67 of the family's 74-position model. Lineage: Eukaryota; Metazoa; Chordata; Lepidosauria; Squamata; Pythonidae. The record is from RNAcentral.
GAAAUCAAGGCUGGGUGAGACCUCGUGAAGAAACUAGAAGGCGACCCAUACUUGGUUUCAG